This 867-nucleotide long non-coding RNA is filed under the name Homo sapiens (human). RNAcentral's name for it is "HSALNT0134382". Lineage: Eukaryota; Metazoa; Chordata; Mammalia; Primates; Hominidae. The record is from RNAcentral.
CUGUCAGUGGACAUUAGGUUGUUUAUUUUCUUUAUAUUUUGUUGUUAAAUUGACAGUGCUGUCAUGAAUAUUUCUGUAUAUGUAUCCUGGCACACAGCAGCAAGCAUUUUUCUAGGGAGGUAGUUAAUCAAACUUUAGCAUGCAUCAGAGUCACUUGGAGGAGGAGGAGGACUUGAGAAAACUGCUGGACUUCAUCCCCAAAGAUUAAUAUUCAGUAGGUCUGGGGUGGGGUAGGAAUGUACAUUUUUAAUUUGCAGGUGAAAUGUGGUUCAGAUGCUGCAGGUGACAGGAUCACACAUUUGAGAACCACCACUCUAAGUGUAAGAGACUUAAAUGAAUAUGACUGUCACACAAAAAAGGUGUGUCCUACUUCAACACUCAACAUUCAAGAAAUAUUUGUCAAAGACCUGCUGUAAGCCAGGUGGUUGCUGUAUAUGGAACUUUAUCUGAUUUGCUUUCUGUGGCCAGCAGUAAACUCGGCAUAAAAGCCACCAGUGUGUAUAAUGGGAAAGGUGGACUGAUUGAUGAUAUUGCUUUGAUCAGGGAUGAUGAUGUUUUGUUUGUUUGUGAAGGAGAGCCAUUUAUUGAUCCUCAGACAGAUUCUAAGCCUCCUGAGGGAUUGUUAGGAUUCCACACAGACUGGCUGACAUUAAAUGUUGGAGGGCGGUACUUUACAACUACACGCGUUACUCCUACCAGGUUGUAGCAUGCAUCUUUUUGAGAGAGCAGCUGGGAUCGAGUAUACUCUUGACUUAAAUAUGUUUGUUUAUAAAGACAAAUGGAGAAAUCAAUUUUUUUCCCUGAAUUCUUAGGAGCACUUUAGUGAAUAAAGAACCUGACAGUAUGCUGGCCCACAUGUUUAAGGAC